This 407-nucleotide ribosomal RNA is filed under the name uncultured prokaryote. RNAcentral describes it as "bacterial SSU rRNA". It matches the Rfam family "Bacterial small subunit ribosomal RNA", at positions 355 to 776 of the family's 1533-position model. RNAcentral also lists the same sequence under 1 other name. The record is from RNAcentral.
UAGGGAAUCUUCCGCAAUGGGCGAAAGCCUGACCCAGCGACGCCGCGUGAGGGAAGAAGAUCUUCGGAUUGUAAACCUUAGUCAACAGGGAAGAAGAAAGUGACGGUACCUGUGGAGGAAGCCACGGCUAACUACGUGCCAGCAGCCGCGGUAAUACGUAGGUGGCGAGCGUUAUCCGGAAUUACUGGGUGUAAAGGGUGUGUAGGCGGGCUUUUAAGUCAGAUGUGAAAACUAUGGGCUCAACCCAUAGCCUGCAUUUGAAACUGGAGGUCUUGAGAGUGGGAGAGGUAAACGGAAUUCCGAGUGUAGCGGUGAAAUGCGUAGAUAUUCGGAGGAACACCGGUGGCGAAGGCGGUUUACUGGCCCACAACUGACGCUGAGACACGAAAGCGUGGGGAGCAAACAGG